This 218-nucleotide non-coding RNA is filed under the name Plasmodium yoelii yoelii. RNAcentral's name for it is "Bacterial large subunit ribosomal RNA". It matches the Rfam family "Bacterial large subunit ribosomal RNA", at positions 2713 to 2925 of the family's 2925-position model. Lineage: Eukaryota; Apicomplexa; Aconoidasida; Haemosporida; Plasmodiidae. The record is from Rfam by way of RNAcentral.
UGUUCCGGUUGUCAUUGCAAUGGCAUUGCCGGGUAGCUAUGUUCGGACAGGAUAACCGCUGAAAGCAUCUAAGCGGGAAGCCCCUCCCAAGAUGAGAUCUCCCUGGGACCGUGAGUCCCCUGAAGGGCCCUGGAAGACCACCAGGUUGAUAGGUCGGGUGUGGAAGCUCAGUAAUGGGUGAAGCUAACCGAUACUAAUGGCCCGUGAGGCUUGACCAU